UGGGGGAAUUUUGGACAAUGGGCGAAAGCCUGAUCCAGCAAUGCCGCGUGUGUGAAGAAGGCCUUCGGGUUGUAAAGCACUUUUGUCCGGAAAGAAAAUCCUUGGCUCUAAUACAGUCGGGGGAUGACGGUACCGGAAGAAUAAGCACCGGCUAACUACGUGCCAGCAGCCGCGGUAAUACGUAGGGUGCAAGCGUUAAUCGGAAUUACUGGGCGUAAAGCGUGCGCAGGCGGUUUGCUAAAGACCGAUGUGAAAUCCCCGGGCUCAACCUGGGAACUGCAUUGGUGACUGGCAGGCUAGAGUAUGGCAGAGGGGGGUAGAAUUCCACUGUAGCAGUGAAAUGCGUAGAGAUGUGGAGGAAUACCGAUGGCG
RNAcentral lists this ribosomal RNA (372 nucleotides) under uncultured bacterium. Its description in RNAcentral is "partial 16S ribosomal RNA". It matches the Rfam family "Bacterial small subunit ribosomal RNA", at positions 354 to 717 of the family's 1533-position model. The record is from RNAcentral.